CUACGGGCGGCUGCAGUGGGGAAUAUUGCACAAUGGGGGAAACCCUGAUGCAGCAACGCCGCGUGGAGGAUGACGCAUUUCGGUGUGUAAACUCCUUUUAUAUCCCAAGAUAAUGACGGUAGGAUAUGAAUAAGCACCGGCUAACUCCGUGCCAGCAGCCGCGGUAAUACGGAGGGUGCAAGCGUUACUCGGAAUCACUGGGCGUAAAGGAUGCGUAGGCUGGAAGUCAAGUCAUAAGUGAAAUCCCACGGCUCAACCGUGGAACUGCUUGUGAAACUGGCUUUCUAGAAUGUGGGAGAGGUAGAUGGAAUUAGUGGUGUAGGGGUAAAAUCCGUAGAGAUCACUAGGAAUACCGAUUGCGAAGGCGAUCUACUGGAACACUAUUGACGCUGAGGCAUGAAAGCGUGGGGAGCAAACAGGAUUAGAUACCCUUGUAGUC
RNAcentral lists this ribosomal RNA (439 nucleotides) under uncultured bacterium. RNAcentral describes it as "partial 16S ribosomal RNA". It matches the Rfam family "Bacterial small subunit ribosomal RNA", at positions 339 to 795 of the family's 1533-position model. The record is from RNAcentral.